CCUCCUUUAAAGAAAUCGGAACAAGGCGUGAAAGCGUCCGCACAAUCUGCCUAAUCGCUGUAAAGAUGGACCGCGGGUCUGUAGCUCAGUUGGUUAGAGCGCACCCCUGAUAAGGGUGAGGUCGGAAGUUCAAAUCUUCCCAGACCCACCACCUUCAUGUGUGUAUUCGCAAAAAGGUAACAAGGGGCCAUAGCUCAGAUGGGAGAGCACCUGCUUUGCAAGCAGGGGGUCGGCGGUUCGAUCCCGCCUGGCUCCACCAGGCGCUAAACCACGGCGGGCAAUGUGCCGCGGUGGUUUAUCUCCUGGGCCAAAACCCCCCGGGACGUUCUUUUACAAUUUAGGUAGUAAUGAUGUACGACGGUGAAGUCCGGAACAGCGUUUUGACGUCCUGACUUUACUGGGUAUGCCAGCAUUUAUUAUGGUA
Molecule: transfer RNA, 424 nt
Filed under: uncultured Chromatiales bacterium
Lineage: Bacteria; Pseudomonadati; Pseudomonadota; Gammaproteobacteria; Chromatiales
Description: partial 16S-23S ribosomal RNA intergenic spacer
Rfam family: tRNA (bases 75-148)
Source: RNAcentral